This 208-nucleotide unclassified non-coding RNA is filed under the name Fuirena umbellata. The record is from RNAcentral. Lineage: Eukaryota; Viridiplantae; Streptophyta; Magnoliopsida; Poales; Cyperaceae.
UUGUUGCCUUCGGAGAACUUGACCGGUGCAUACACAAAAAAAAACUGCCGAGGAGCUCUCCCCUCGGCUACACCGGCCCCGGCCGAUGCUCACCCUCUGGGGGUGUCGGUUGUGUGCUGGAAUACGGCUUCGGAUGAUGCCAAGGAACACGGGCAGGCAGGGAGCGAGCUAAUCUCGGGAGCUGUGCUGACUGUCAACCCCAAUGAAA